UACGAAGGGGGGCGAGCGUUGUUCGGAUUUACUGGGCGUAAAGGGCGCGUAGGCGGCGUGACAAGUCACUUGUGAAAUCUCCGGGCUUAACUCGGAACGGUCAAGUGAUACUGUCGUGCUAGAGUACAGAAGGGGCAACUGGAAUUCUCGGUGUAGCGGUGAAAUGCGUAGAUAUCGAGAGGAACACCUGCGGCGAAGGCGGGUUGCUGGGCUGAUACUGACGCUGAGGCGCGAAAGCCAGGGGAGCGAACGGG
RNAcentral lists this ribosomal RNA (254 nucleotides) under uncultured bacterium. Its description in RNAcentral is "partial 16S ribosomal RNA". It matches the Rfam family "Bacterial small subunit ribosomal RNA", at positions 524 to 776 of the family's 1533-position model. The record is from RNAcentral.